AGUGCAUGUCAUAACGAGCAGUUGAGAGGCCUUAGCAUAUCAUUAGCAUGUUACGCUUUGAUUGUUUGAAUGGCCAACUGGAC
Molecule: microRNA precursor, 83 nt
Filed under: Eptesicus fuscus (big brown bat)
Lineage: Eukaryota; Metazoa; Chordata; Mammalia; Chiroptera; Vespertilionidae
Description: microRNA efu-mir-9197 precursor
Source: miRBase by way of RNAcentral